Molecule: long non-coding RNA, 507 nt
Organism: Xiphophorus maculatus (southern platyfish)
Lineage: Eukaryota; Metazoa; Chordata; Actinopteri; Cyprinodontiformes; Poeciliidae
Exons: 3
Source: RefSeq, a predicted model, not a curated record
CUAUAACCAUCGUUGGCGGCAGGGCCUAAAGGCGGGAGAAGGGAGAAGAAGUUCAGCCGUGUAAGGUGCGCUGCUGGCAGAGAUCACGCGUUGGGUGCGGGGCCUCAGGUGUGGAGUCAUGACCGACAGCUCACCGUAACAGCUGGACUACAUAUCAACAACUGUUUCAGUCAGCGCAGAAAGUGACCCACAUUCCCUAAAAGUUGCCUGACCGCCAGCUGCCGUCUCUGGCUCUUCGAGACCCUCUUCCUGCAUUCAUUUUCAAGUCAACACAAACAACAGCAGGACUAUAUAAAACACAGCGCUGACCAACACAUUUCCACUCCAGGAAUAGAACUGAAACUGCAAACCAGCCUUAGGGGUCAGUAAAUCACUCUCUGACCUCUCUGACCUCUGGGUGGAGAUACAGAUUAGUAUUUUUUUUUUUAAAUAAUCAAUGAUCCACAUGACCUCUUAGUUUUUGUUACACAUCUGCAUUAGAAAAUCUUUAUUUGUGUCUGAGUUUGA